Molecule: ribosomal RNA, 223 nt
Filed under: uncultured bacterium
Lineage: Bacteria
Description: partial 16S ribosomal RNA
Rfam family: Bacterial small subunit ribosomal RNA
Source: RNAcentral
UGAGGAACAUGACCUUCGGCGGGGGAUAGCCGGCCCAACGGCCGGGUAAUACCGCGUACGACCUUUCGGGGACAUCCCUGAAAGGUGAAAGCAGCAAUGCGCCGAUGGAGUGCCUCGCGGCCUAUCAGCUAGUUGGUGAGGUAACGGCUCACCAAGGCGACGACGGGUANCUGGUCUGAGAGGAUGGCCAGCCACAGUUGGGACUGAGACACGGCCAGACUCC